AUACGGAGGGGGCAAGCGUUAUUCGGAAUUAUUGGGCGUAAAGGGCGCGUAAGCGGCCCGACAAGUCAACGGUGAAAUCCCUCGGCCUAACCGAGGAACUGCCUUUGAAACUGUCAGGCUUGAGGCCGGGAGAGGGUAGUGGAAUUCCCAGUGUAGCGGUGAAAUGCGUAGAUAUUGGGAGGAACACCAGUGGCGAAGGCGACUACCUGGACCGGUUCUGACGCUGAGGCGCGAAAGCGUGGGGAGCAAACAGGAUUAGAAACCCCAGUAGUCC
Molecule: ribosomal RNA, 274 nt
Filed under: uncultured bacterium
Lineage: Bacteria
Description: partial 16S ribosomal RNA
Rfam family: Bacterial small subunit ribosomal RNA
Source: RNAcentral